This 241-nucleotide ribosomal RNA is filed under the name Bacillus sp. 135b_4T. RNAcentral describes it as "partial 16S ribosomal RNA". It matches the Rfam family "Bacterial small subunit ribosomal RNA", at positions 128 to 357 of the family's 1533-position model. Lineage: Bacteria; Bacillati; Bacillota; Bacilli; Caryophanales; Bacillaceae. The record is from RNAcentral.
GCCUGUAAGACUGGGAUAACUCCGGGAAACCGGGGCUAAUACCGGAUGCUUGAUUGAACCGCAUGGUUCAAUCAUGAAAGGCGGCUUCGGCUGCCGUUUACAGAUGGACCCGCGGCGCAUUAGCUAGUUGGUGAGGUAACGGCUCACCAAGGCGACGAUGCGUAGCCGACCUGAGAGGGUGAUCGGCCACACUGGGACUGAGACACGGCCCAGACUCCUACGGGAGGCAGCAGUGGUCAUA